This 198-nucleotide ribosomal RNA is filed under the name Triticum aestivum (bread wheat). RNAcentral describes it as "partial small subunit ribosomal RNA". The record is from RNAcentral. Lineage: Eukaryota; Viridiplantae; Streptophyta; Magnoliopsida; Poales; Poaceae.
AUGGAGUAUCAACCAAUCAUCUCUGCACUCGACGUCCGCACUGAGCCCAUCACCAUCGACGCACUCUUCUCGCUGGUGGCCAACUUCGAUCAACACGUCGAGAUGUUCCAUGGGAACAGCGUUGGUGGCUUCAAGUCAUUAGCGAACGCUGCCUCCAGAGGUCGCUCCGGUGGCGGCAGAGGUGGCUACCGCAACCAG